AGAACGAACGCUGGCGGCAGGCUUAACACAUGCAAGUCGAACGCGUGUAGCAAUACACGAGUGGCGCACGGGUGAGUAACGCGUGGAUAUCUGCCUUUUGGUUCGGAAUAACCCCGGGAAACUGGGGCUAAUACCGGAUGGUUCCUACGGGAUAAAGAUUUAUCGCCAAAAAGAUGAGUCCGCGUACGAUUAGCUAGUUGGUGAGGUAAUGGCUCACCAAGGCGACGAUCGUUAGCUGGUCUGAGAGGACGAUCAGCCACACUGGGACUGAGACACGGCCCAGACUCCUACGGGAGGCAGCAGUGGGGAAUAUUGGACAAUGGGGGCAACCCUGAUCCAGCCAUGCCGCGUGAGUGAUGAAGGCCUUCGGGUUGUAAAGCUCUUUUGGCGGGACGAUGAUGACGGUACCGCAGAAUAACGCCCGGCUAACUUCGCGCCAGCAGCCGC
Molecule: ribosomal RNA, 447 nt
Filed under: uncultured bacterium
Lineage: Bacteria
Description: SSU rRNA
Rfam family: Bacterial small subunit ribosomal RNA
Source: RNAcentral